RNAcentral lists this ribosomal RNA (253 nucleotides) under uncultured bacterium. RNAcentral's name for it is "partial 16S ribosomal RNA". It matches the Rfam family "Bacterial small subunit ribosomal RNA", at positions 524 to 776 of the family's 1533-position model. The record is from RNAcentral.
UACGAAGGGGGCUAGCGUUGCUCGGAAUCACUGGGCGUAAAGCGCACGUAGGCGGAUUGCUAAGUCAGGGGUGAAAUCCUGGAGCUCAACUCCAGAACUGCCUUUGAUACUGGGGAUCUCGAGUCCGGAAGAGGUGAGUGGAACUCCGAGUGUAGAGGUGAAAUUCGUAGAUAUUCGGAAGAACACCAGUGGCGAAGGCGGCUCACUGGUCCGGUACUGACGCUGAGGUGCGAAAGCGUGGGGAGCAAACAGG